Molecule: ribosomal RNA, 1003 nt
Filed under: uncultured Lysobacterales bacterium
Lineage: Bacteria; Pseudomonadati; Pseudomonadota; Gammaproteobacteria; Lysobacterales
Description: bacterial SSU rRNA
Rfam family: Bacterial small subunit ribosomal RNA
Source: RNAcentral
GAGUUUGAUCGUGGCUCAGAGUGAACGCUGGCGGUAGGCCUAACACAUGCAAGUCGAACGGUAACAGGUCUUUCGGGAUGCUGACGAGUGGCGGACGGGUGAGGAAUACAUCGGAAUCUGCUCAGUCGUGGGGGAUAACGCAUGGAAACGUGCGCUAAUACCGCAUACGACCUUCGGGUGAAAGCAGGGGAAUCUCUCGGGAUCCUUGCGCGAUUGAAUGAGCCGAUGUCGGAUUAGCUAGUUGGUAGGGUAAAAGCCUACCAAGGCCACGAUCCGUAGCUGGUCUGAGAGGAUGAUCAGCCACACUGGGACUGAGACACGGCCCAGACUCCUGCGGGAGGCAGCAGUGGGGAAUAUUGGACAAUGGGGGCAACCCUGAUCCAGCCAUACCGCGUGGGUGAAGAAGGCCUUCUGGGUUGUAAAGCCCUUUUGUUGGGGAAGAAAAACAACGGGUUAAUACCCCGUUGGUAUGACGGUACCCAAAGAAUAAGCACCGGCUAACUUCGUGCCAGCAGCCGCGGUAAUACGAAGGGUGCAAGCGUUACUCGGAAUUACUGGGCGUAAAGGGUGCGUAGGUGGUUGCGCCAGUCUGUCGUGAAAGCCCUGGGCUUAACCUGGGAAUGGCGAUGGAAACUGUGCAACUAGAGUGUGACAGAGGGUGGUGGAAUUCCUGGUGUAGCAGUGAAAUGCGUAGAGAUCAGGAGGAACAUUCGCGGCGAAGGCGGCCACCUGGGUCAACACUGACACUGAGGCACGAAAGCGUGGGGAGCAAACAGGAUUAGAUACCCUGGUAGUCCACGCCCUAAACGAUGCGAACUGGAUGUUGGGUCCAACUUGGGAUUCAGUAUCGAAGCUAACGCGUUAAGUUCGCCGCCUGGGGAGUACGGUCGCAAGACUGAAACUCAAAGGAAUUGACGGGGGCCCGCACAAGCGGUGGAGUAUGUGGUUUAAUUCGAUGCAACGCGCAGAACCUUACCUGGCCUUGACAUGCACGGAACCUUUG